UAUAUGUGUUCUAAUUAACAAAAAGAUAAUGGCUAAAGAAAUGGCUCAAUUGUUUAGAAUAUUUGCUACACUUGUAAAAGACUCGGUUUCAGUUUCUAACACCCACAUCUAGUGGCUAACAACUACUGGUAACCCCAGUUCCAGGACAUCCAACACUGGAAAGGCACGGUGCUUACAAACACAAACCCCUCCCCCCUCAAUACAUGAGACUCUGUGCUCACAAGCACCCUCCAUUCCCCCCAACACACAAGACAAUGUGCUCAUAAGCACACAUCAUCUCCCCCACAUACGUGGCAACAAGCUCACAAGCAUGUGUCAUUCCCCCAAACACACAUACAAUCAAAAAUAAUAAAAACAACCUUUUUUAAAAAGAAGCAUCAACAAACUGACCAUAGAAAACUUUCAGACGGAUAACAGCCACUAGAUUUUCUCACUUGUAAAGAGAGAGAUGCUGUUGACAAACUGGGGCAUGAGUGGGUGUUUUUCAUCUCUUGAUUGGUGCCCUGAGAGCACUGAAGGGUCGCAACCAAGGCCCAAGGGUCUAGAGGUAAAUACGUGCUACAGAAUUAUACUUCUGUCUUUUAUCUUUCUUUGUGUUUUCACAUAGUUAACAAAAUUAUUUAAGUUGUUUAGAAUGAUAAAACACCUUGUGUUAGCUUAAAUAACCAGUGCACAUCCCUAGCUUAAAUUUUCUUAGAAUCCCUUUAAGUCACAGUGAACUUGGACUGAGGACCCAACCUGUGGGACACCAUUCAUCAGAGGACACAAAGUCACUCUUUCUGCUCCGUAUCACAAUGAUCCACCAAAUGAACUCAUAACCCGCAGGCAGAGAUAGGAUCCAUCUUGCUGAGGCCCCUACUGGGCCCUAAACUUCCUGCUUGCUGUGCGUUUGGCUUGCAGGAUGCAGUUAUGCAUAUCUGUUUACUGGUGUUCUCUUAGCAUGAAACAACCACUUUCAGGUAUGUGUCGGGGACGUAAAUCCACGUUAUCAAAUCACUCCACCAAGUGGAUUUUUAACAAGCCAAUUCAAGCUGUACAUGGGAGCCAAUGUUGAUCUAUGUGCAGGUACUACCUCUAAAAGAGCUUACAGACGGAUGCCGCUUGGCAAUUCUGUGGUUUCACGAUAACCCAAGCCUUUGUAGGCAUGUUGUCCUUAUUGAAGACCUCCGCCUUCAUGAUGUUAAUGCUUCUUCAAUUCUCUAAGCGCAUCCCUGUAACUCCAACCUGAAGCCUGCAUGUAUCUCCCAGAGUCCAACUACAAGCAAGCAGAGAGAAAUAGAAAGUGUUCCUGAGCUCAGGAAAUAAGGAAAUAGAAUAAUGAAAUGCGGCAUAUACUUCGUCUAUUCGUUUUACGAAACACUUAUGUCAACAAAUCUCUCACGCUUUUCGCUAAAAUUUAUCAUUUCAUAAAAUCUUUUCUGCUGAAGCCACCCUUCCUUGCCCAAACCUGCUCAGCCUGUCAGACCAGCCAAUCAACAUUAACCAAAGGUCACUCAACAUAAUUCAGUAUACUGGCCCUAGAUACUGACUUUCAUGGUAUGAAUGAAAUCCUCCCUCUUCCUUAAGAGCCCAAGGCAAACAUAGUAAGCAAGAACCUCCAUUUUAGGCUUCUUCCCAUAUGGAGAACUUAAGGUCACAGGUAGACAGACUAGCUGACCUGUUGGACCCUGAACUUACUACACAGAUUCGUAAUGGCUCUACCCUGUUCCUUGUGUUUUAACUAUAAACAAGGUGCUUAAAGGGACCAUGACACAGCUUUAGAAGGUCCUGAAGAGCAGGGGUGAGGUCAGGGCCUAUGUCAUUGCUGUAGGGAUAAGAAUAGAGCGAUCUUCCCACUUGGGCGAAUUAACCAAACUGAGAGCAAGUCUAUUUCAGCCAUGAAGUGUGGGCACGUGUCUGGAGACACGGCUUUGAUACAGUGAAGCCCGUAAUAGUUCCCAGCUGUGGGAUGCUGAGACGCACGACCGUGGAAAUAUCUGUUAAUGGUGUUUGGGGAACCUGGCUCCUUAGUGAAAGGUGCCAUGCACGUGGCCUGUGAGUAGUUCCUCAGGUAGCACAGCCCCAACCGUGUGAGUCAGUUCGAGCACCACAGUUAGAUCAAGUUUGGGUGAAGACUCCUUGGAGGAUUAAAUCCCCACUUUGUAUAUUCAGAUAUCACAUAUUAACCUCCACAUUCACAAGCGAGUUCUGCACAGACAAACAACACUCACAGCCGUACAGGGACCUGGGCAGUUUCCACAGCCAUUGUUUCUGUCUCAAGAAAAAGUAUUUGUCAAUCUUCUGUUUGCAACUAGUCUACUCACUAUGCCAUGAGCACAUGCAAAUGAACCAGGCUUGCUCACCUACUGGCCUCUUUCCUUCUGUGUCCAACCUCUUACUCCCUCUACUAGGUCUCUGCUCUCACACAGUAAGAGUUACAUUCCUGCUGCCCCUUCCUCAACCCCACAGUACAUUCUUACCACUCUGUUUCUCUUCUUUUUAUAGUUAGAUACUUGAAACAUCAACGUUUGCUUGCCUUGUGUAUCUUGCCCAGUCUGGAACCUCAGACAACCCCUCUGUGUCUCCCACCAGCUCACCAAUCUGCCUCUGCAAAGUGACCCGGCCAGUUGCCAAGCUGAAUGGCCUCUGCUGAGCUGACUGGCUUCGUACUGAGCAUGCCAGGAGAGAGGCAGAAACACAGACCGGGCGAAGACGCACAGGGAGAUGAAACCGAGAUACUGUUUCCACUUCUUCCUACGCUCGCUGUGAUAUGGUAAAUUAUUCGGGGCAGGGAGAAGUCAGCAGAAGGCAGGAAGACAAGGCAGGACAGGCCAGCAGAGGAUAAAAACACGAGAACGCGGUUUUGAAAACAGCCUUUCUCCAAGGCGAAGGCUGACUGACUCAGUGAACAGACUACCCUCCCGUAGAAGCUAAAGAUGACAUGAGUCGCAGAGGACCAUAAUUUGCAAAAAAAAAAAUCAUCGUAUGAAGUAAUUAAUGUAAGCAUGGGUAAGUUUCCAGGAUUAAGACUUUGAUCUGACAAGCAGAAGAAGUGGAGUAAGGCUGGCACGGGUGUGCUGUGGCCUUAAGACUUCAAAUGUUUUUCCAUGCUAGUCAAAAUUUAAUUACUUCUCCCCCACCCUCCGCCACUGACAGUUCCAAAUUAAAAUAAAUGGACCAUGUCGAGACAAAUCUCGGAUGCAUGUAGUGCUUGAGAAAAUGCUGCUGCUCGCCCAUGGACAGCCUGAGACUCUCCUAAUAAAUUCCCUUCCUUCUUCUUGGGAUGGUAAGGGAAUUGAGGGGCAGGGCUUGGUGUUGAAAUAAAGAAACAGGCUCGGAUCUAGUGUGUUUUGCAGGGUUGUUCCCACAGGAAUGCUCUUCUCCUAUAUGUUCUCUGUGCACUGAUCUUACAAGGUUUGGGGGAAGUGGGAUAGACAAAUGCCCUGUGGUCACCCAAUGUAUUAAGCUAAUUCCUUUCUAAGUGCAGGUAGAUUGGUUUUUACUUAGUGACAACCAUCAACUCUGUUAUAGAUUAAUGAGGGUUUGAUAGCCCAGUUGGACCUCGUACGGCCACACAUUUGCUAUCAUUGUAACAGAGGCGGCUCCUUGUCACCUGAGGCAAGGAAGCAAUUCACUCGACAUGAGUCUGUCCUCUUCAAGACGAGGCCUGGGGAGUCCCGGAGACCUGCCUUCUCAUCUCUGCAGCUCUGAAGCAUUUGCUGAGCAUUCCCACCUUCCCAAAACCCAUCGUUUAGAGAACUCGCUUGUCAUUGGCUUCUUGUUUUGAAGUCCCAGUUCCUGGUAUUUUCCUCAGACUCAUUGUACCUCUCAAGACUGAGUGGGAAAGUAUCAGGCAGGCACCAUGGCAGUAAACAGGAAGCCAGUGGCCCCUUGGAACCAUGAAUGCUGCCCUCUGUGUUUGGUCUUGGGAAGUAGAGAUAAGAAGGUACACAAAUUCGGUCAUGUGUCUGUGGCAAUUCAAACAAAUAAUGAGUCUCACAAAUAGGAAACCAUAAGCACUCAGACACACUGGAAUUAAUGAAGAACUCUUUUCCUAGUGAUGCCACUCUGGCUUGAGAAAAUUACCUGGAAGCUUCCGGUAGUCACAGCGAACCAACAGUGAGGAGCGUCUCUGCUGUUCUUGUCAUCAGUUCCUUCUCCAUCCAGAGCUGUUUCAGAAAAUCCGCUCUAGCCUCCUCCAACCUGUCUGUACAGAGGCCAAUUCUACCUUCAUGCUGAGGAUCAAAGCAAGAAUGGGGGAGAAGAAGCCGGACGGUUCCUCACAACUGGAGCCUUCCUUUUGUCCUUGCCUAGACUCCCGAGAAGGCAGGGAGCCACAGGUCCUUCCAUCCCUUGGCUUCUCAUUCCAUCCCUCACAAGCCACUGCCACCCUCCCCUGAGCUCUGAGAGCACAGCUUUGCAUGUCUUCACGACUGGCUGAGUCACCUUUGGACACCAGCAAGGCUGUACCAUGUCUGAGUCGAUCCUGCGUGCUUCUCCACAGGUCCCUUCAAUACACUCUGGAGCACCGCCGCUAUCAGCAGCACGGCAGUUCCUUCCAACUCUAGUGUGAGACACGGUCUGUCCCCAUACCUUUCUAGAAGACCUAGGUGACCUUGUUUCCAUCUAUUCAGUGGACAGUUUGCCUAGUCUUGUGGCAUUGUCAACGUAAUCCUAAAUGCUCUGACACUAGACCUCGAUGAAAACCAAGGUCUCUGUGCUUCGUCACAACAUUGGCUAAUCUCACGACUCCUUGUCUUCUCCCUCAUGUGUUGGGAAUUCUAGUAAUUUGUCCUUCUCUGUGGUUUCUGGAAUUACAGCAACAAUUUCUAAAUCAAAUAAGACAUACUAUGUUGAGAUUUUGACUACAUUCGUAUUGAAUUUAGAGAUUCAAUAUCGUUUCAUUUUUUUUUGUAAUGUUAGCCCAACGACCUAAAACCAUCCUUUCCGUGGACUUCCCAGCUUCCUCUCUGAGCUCUCUUCCGAGACAAUCUUCGAAAGCAUCGCUGUUGCGCCCUCCAUACCUGGGCACGCUGGGCACCCAGGAUCUUCUUUCUGACUCGUGAACCACAAUAAGGCUGUAAGACAGGAACUGAGCUCUUACCUCAUGGUGGAGCUAGCAGGACAGGGUGGAGGCAGUGGAGAUCAGGCAUGGCAGCCACUGAGGUGGCAGGGAGAUGCAGAUCAUGGGGCCAGGCUCGUGGGAUAUCACUAAGUUGGAUGGCCAGCAUGACCAGGUAGCAAGGACGCCAACACCUUAUCUUCACCAACCACUGCCCAUAAGAGCUAACAACAACAGGAAGAGAGCAGGAUACACGGAGAACUCUUAAAACACUGUCCUAAGACCCAACAGCUCUCUGCUAAGCCUAUAAAUGAUGAGUGUGUGGUGCUCACAGCCUCAGGCUGUCUGCCCUUACCCAGGCUGCAUGACUUUCCUUCCUCCAAAGCAGCAAGCCGUUCCUGCAAGCAAACGGCAAAUGUGGGACCUGGGUGUGCACCAGUGAAGAAGGUAUUGUUCGUGGUCACAGUAUCACCCGGAGACGCCUGGGAACCAAACAGCGAUGCUGGUUUGUAUAGAGGGAGCAGAGAUGCUGGUUUGUAUAGAGGGAGCAGAGAUGCUAGGGAGGCCUGUGGGAGGUAAGGGGGUGCCGAGCAAUGCAGGUUAUUUGGUUUUAUUUGUUAGCUUCCUGUCUAAACUGUUGGCUGCAAAAAUUCCCCAAUUACAUUACGUGUCAGGGAACCUUGAUACACCUUAUGAUAUCCCUGGCAGCGUCUAGCUUUACUUAGCUUUUAAGUUGCUUUCCCCAGAAAAGUUUUCUUCAUGGCCUGCAGCACCAUGUCAUUUUGAGGACCAAAAUCUACAGAGUUUGCACUGAGAGGGAGCACACGAAUAGAGAAAGUGACUCCAAGCAGCCUGAGUGAAGACAAGCCCUACAGUGAGCUCCUCUCGGUUCGAGUAUUUUAGAAUUGUUUCUACAAAGAAAAUGUCUC
RNAcentral lists this small RNA (5970 nucleotides) under Rattus norvegicus (Norway rat). Its description in RNAcentral is "uncharacterized LOC102546303". Lineage: Eukaryota; Metazoa; Chordata; Mammalia; Rodentia; Muridae. The record is from RNAcentral.